This 1095-nucleotide ribosomal RNA is filed under the name Mycobacterium sp. Its description in RNAcentral is "bacterial SSU rRNA". It matches the Rfam family "Bacterial small subunit ribosomal RNA", at positions 1 to 1100 of the family's 1533-position model. The record is from RNAcentral. Lineage: Bacteria; Bacillati; Actinomycetota; Actinomycetes; Mycobacteriales; Mycobacteriaceae.
UUGUUUGGAGAGUUUGAUUCUGGCUCAGGACGAACGCUGGCGGCGUGCUUAACACAUGCAAGUCGAACGGUAAGGCCCUUCGGGGUACACGAGUGGCGAACGGGUGAGUAACACGUGGGUAAUCUGCCCUGCACAUCGGGAUAAGCCUGGGAAACUGGGUCUAAUACCGGAUAGGACCACAGAACACAUGUCCUGUGGUGGAAAGCUUUUGCGGUGUGGGAUGGGCCCGCGGCCUAUCAGCUUGUUGGUGGGGUGAUGGCCUACCAAGGCGACGACGGGUAGCCGGCCUGAGAGGGUGUCCGGCCACACUGGGACUGAGAUACGGCCCAGACUCCUACGGGAGGCAGCAGUGGGGAAUAUUGCACAAUGGGCGAAAGCCUGAUGCAGCGACGCCGCGUGGGGGAUGACGGCCUUCGGGUUGUAAACCUCUUUCACCAUCGACGAAGGUCCGGGUUUUCUCGGAUUGACGGUAGGUGGAGAAGAAGCACCGGCCAACUACGUGCCAGCAGCCGCGGUAAUACGUAGGGUGCGAGCGUUGUCCGGAAUUACUGGGCGUAAAGAGCUCGUAGGUGGUUUGUCGCGUUGUUCGUGAAAUCUCACGGCUUAACUGUGAGCGUGCGGGCGAUACGGGCAGACUUGAGUACUGCAGGGGAGACUGGAAUUCCUGGUGUAGCGGUGGAAUGCGCAGAUAUCAGGAGGAACACCGGUGGCGAAGGCGGGUCUCUGGGCAGUAACUGACGCUGAGGAGCGAAAGCGUGGGGAGCGAACAGGAUUAGAUACCCUGGUAGUCCACGCCGUAAACGGUGGGUACUAGGUGUGGGUUUCCUUCCUUGGGAUCCGUGCCGUAGCUAACGCAUUAAGUACCCCGCCUGGGGAGUACGGCCGCAAGGCUAAAACUCAAAGAAAUUGACGGGGGCCCGCACAAGCGGCGGAGCAUGUGGAUUAAUUCGAUGCAACGCGAAGAACCUUACCUGGGUUUGACAUGCACAGGACGCCGGCAGAGAUGUCGGUUCCCUUGUGGCCUGUGUGCAGGUGGUGCAUGGCUGUCGUCAGCUCGUGUCGUGAGAUGUUGGGUUAAGUCCCGCAACGAGCGCA